RNAcentral lists this ribosomal RNA (600 nucleotides) under Citrobacter farmeri. RNAcentral describes it as "bacterial SSU rRNA". It matches the Rfam family "Bacterial small subunit ribosomal RNA", at positions 37 to 629 of the family's 1533-position model. The record is from RNAcentral. Lineage: Bacteria; Pseudomonadati; Pseudomonadota; Gammaproteobacteria; Enterobacterales; Enterobacteriaceae.
GCGUGGCGGAUGCUACCAUGCAGUCGACGGUAACAGGAAGCAGCUUGCUGCUUUGCUGACGAGUGGCGGACGGGUGAGUAAUGUCUGGGAAACUGCCCGAUGGAGGGGGAUAACUACUGGAAACGGUAGCUAAUACCGCAUAAUGUCGCAAGACCAAAGAGGGGGACCUUCGGGCCUCUUGCCAUCGGAUGUGCCCAGAUGGGAUUAGCUUGUUGGUGAGGUAACGGCUCACCAAGGCGACGAUCCCUAGCUGGUCUGAGAGGAUGACCAGCCACACUGGAACUGAGACACGGUCCAGACUCCUACGGGAGGCAGCAGUGGGGAAUAUUGCACAAUGGGCGCAAGCCUGAUGCAGCCAUGCCGCGUGUAUGAAGAAGGCCUUCGGGUUGUAAAGUACUUUCAGCGGGGAGGAAGGGGAUGUGGUUAAUAACCGCAUUCAUUGACGUUACCCGCAGAAGAAGCACCGGCUAACUCCGUGCCAGCAGCCGCGGUAAUACGGAGGGUGCAAGCGUUAAUCGGAAUUACUGGGCGUAAAGCGCACGCAGGCGGUCUGUCAAGUCGGAUGUGAAAUCCCCGGGCUCAACCUGGGAACUGCAUUCG